This 529-nucleotide ribosomal RNA is filed under the name uncultured Glomus. RNAcentral describes it as "SSU rRNA". It matches the Rfam family "Eukaryotic small subunit ribosomal RNA", at positions 562 to 1092 of the family's 1831-position model. The record is from RNAcentral. Lineage: Eukaryota; Fungi; Glomeromycota; Glomeromycetes; Glomerales; Glomeraceae.
CGGUGCCAGCAGCCGCGGUAAUUCCAGCUCCAAUAGCGUAUAUUAAAGUUGUGCAGUUAAAAGCUCGUAGUUGAAUUUCGGGAUCAAUACGUCGGUCGUGCUUUCGGGUACGUACUGGCGUCAUUGGUUUCUCCUUUCUGACGAACCAUGAUGUCAUUAAUUUGGUGUUAUGGGGAGUUAGGACUGUUACUUGAAAAAUUAGAGUGUUAAAGCAGGCAUUAGCUUGAAUACAUUAGCAUGGAAUAAUGAAAUAGGACGUUCGAUCCUAUUUUGUUGGUUUACUAGGAUCAACGUAAUGAUUAAUAGGGAUAGUUGGGGGCAUUAGUAUUCAAUUGUCAGAGGUGAAAUUCUUGGAUUUAUUGAAGACUAACUACUGCGAAAGCAUUUGCCAAGGAUGUUUUCAUUAAUCAAGAACGAAAAGUUAGGGGGAUCGAAGACGAUCAGAUACCGUCGUAGUCUUAACCAUAAACUAUGCCGACUAGGGGAUCGGAUGAUGUUAAUUUUUUAAUGACUCAUUCGGCACCUUACG